UUGCCAAGGAAAAUUUAUAUGUAGUUUAUUUUUAUAUAGAUUCAUGUAGUUGGACAGUUCAUUAUAAAUAGUAGAAUGAAUCCACAUCUUUCUUUCAUAUCGAAGCUACAUGCACAAACUUGAGGAAUGUGCGAGAAUGUGAAAGAGGUUAGAACAUACAUGUACAUACUUCAUAUUCCACACUUCCGACAACCAUUUAUUUUUGUUUCUUUUUUUUUAUUCAUGAUGUCUUUCUUGUCCACGUAAUAAUUCACUUCGUUUUUGUUCCUAGUCUGAGCACACGAGGAACCAUAAUUACAGUCACUUUGCAUCCGGAUUAACCGUUUAAAUAUACUUGGUGAAAUAAUUUGUCCUAUUUGCAUCGUGACCUUUCGAACUAAACGGCCGAUUUAACAACUAGUUUCAGAUUAAAAUUCAACUUCUGCGCUUUCUCCACGCUAGUUUUAUUUCCGCAAAAUGCUAGAGUUAAUCAAACCCGACGGUUGUUACUGGGCAUCGAGCACGCGAUUCUUACGUCAUUUUUCUUCAAGAAGUUAGCAGGAACUUGAUUCCCGACGAGAAGAGUGCUAAUAAACGCGCACCAUUGGUUUCAAAAUCGUUUUCUGAAGGAACAGAUGUUGAUGAGGGAUCAAGAGCUGUAAUUAAGAUUGACGUCAAACACGCGGAAAUCUUGAAAACUUGAGAACUGAAUAUUCGACUUAAUCACGAUAAUAAAAGCAAUGGUUAUCAAAGCACGAGGAUCUUUAAUAUCAUCGUAGUUGUACGAAAAUUUUGAACGUUUCUCGUCACCAUUAAAGGAAAACUUCAACCUUGAAGAGUUUAUCCAUGUAGAUAUGUAUAAUAAAACAUUCAUUUCAAAACAUCGAACCUAUUUAAUUUAGACAAACUUCUUGAAUAGACAUACUGGGUACGAACAUUUAUGAGACUGACUAUAUCUCUUCGUAACACCUUAUCUUGUGUACUUACCGGAGCAAAUGAAGGCACAUGCUUUCGAAUGGAGAUUAUAACACACUCCAAAACGGCAGCCUAACUCUUGGAGCCCUAGUAACCAAGCUUCAUCGAUCACUUGUCAUUUUAUUCGAAGGAACAAACCGAAAAUUAGCCAGUAUAGGUCGCAAAAAAAUUCUGAGAAACAUCGCAGCAGUCCCACGUCAAAGUGUCCUCAUCUUUCACCCAACAAUCCGUCGAAGAAGCUAUUAAUCAGCUAUAAUUAAGGCUCGGCUGAUCCUUCAGGGAUCGAGACGUCGAGUCGUUUGCUCAAGACCUCGCAGAACUAGGCUUUGGUUGCGCGUCGCUCGACGCCGUGGUUAAUCAAUCCUGAAGCUCGUUACAGACGAGCUCUCCGAUGGCUGAAGCGUCGUCUACGCAUACUACGUGGAACCAGAAUGUCAAGAAUUGUUAAUCUACCACGGCUCGUACGCUUAACGUCAGAUGAUAGCGACGCGUCGCUGUAAACUACGGUUACGAAAGAACCCUCGACUUUUGACGCCUUCAACAUUCUGUCCUUCGCGGCACUCUGGUCCCCAAAGACAGCGUUUCUCAAACUUUUAGAGUCACGAUGCAUUUUACGAUCUAUUUUUCGGAACAUUUCCAUGCAGUUGUGACUGCUUGGAUUUUAAGUGAAAAAUUUAUUUAUUUAACCCUGAGCAGUAUGGGGCUAGAGAAUUAUUUUUUUCGUGUGAGGGAGGAAUGAGUCAUUUGAAGAACAUUUAGUAAUUUUUCUGAAAAUUAAGAGAGAGCUCUGUAUUUUACAAAUAUAGAUAAAUACAUAUAUUCAAAUCGUCCUUUAAAUCAUGUUAACACAAUAAAUGCAUACAUUAAAAAUUGUAUAAUUGAUGCUGCUAUAAGAACAAAGUAUAAUGAUACUGUCUAUUUAAUAUAAUCAACGUAGGUACUCUGCAAGUAUGUAAAAUUAUUUAAUGUUUGUUUUCUUUUUUAAAUCAUCUUGAACACUUUAGGACACAGUUUCGGAAACGCUGCUCUAAGAACCAUCGGGAGACAUUCGCUGCCGAGCAGGCACCAGACCGCACCGUUAUUACUAGCGAUAAAUCGCCACCUUUAAUAAGAGCUCGCAUGACGUUCCAGACGGAAGCCAGAGACGCCGGGCGUCGCAGCCAGCGUCAACGACGUCGACGAAAGAAUCGUAAUAUCGAGCGCCGAGGCGAAUACGACGAAUCGAAGGCAGUUUGUUUCAGAAUGUAUUUCGAGUUCAUGCUUAAUAUUAAUGAUGCUGAAUAUCCUUAUGGAUACAGAAUUUUUCGAGGCGAAAGAUUUCUUCUGUUCCGAAAAUAAAUCUUUGACGUCGUUUAACGAGCAGAAUGAAAUUUGCUACGUCAGAAUCGUUCACAGUGAAAGACGCUAUCAAGUCAUUAGACAGAUUUAAUAGCACAGAAAGGGGUUAUCGAUUUGCGUGCUCGUGCAAAGACAAAUCGAGGUCAGCGCUAUCAAAGGGUGAAUUGGAUGUGUAGGAUAACUGGAAAUGCAACUGCUAACAGUCCGACUAACGCCAACCUUAAAGCUUUUAUGCCGCAAAUCCCUUUUAGCCGUUAGACUGCGCUAUUAAGGUCUCGACAUGCCACGUGUCUGCACUUGAACGUACGUCCCGUGCACGUGUACCCGUUCAAUUACAGAAUGGCUUGUAUUCAGGUGUAAAUACAUUCACGGUCUGUAUUCGCUACGCCCAUUCAACGUGUCACGGAUGGGAACAGUCGAGUCGCAAAUUAUUAGCCCACCCACACGUUUUAUUAAAUGCUUUCAACUUGUAACUUGAGUUCGGAAUUGAAUACCCGAUCGGAUUCAAUUUUACCACAGGAAACUCUAGGAUCCUGUUUCAUAAUAAAAUAAAUACACCUAUCAGUAAAAUCGUUGUUGGAGGUUAAAUUGUGAUCAUGUGUACCUUCGGUUAAAAUUAAAAAAUUCUAAAAGAUUCUAAAUUCCCUUCGUUACCAGUCGAUUAAAAUCGUGUCAAUAAAUCCUAUCAAUAAAACUGUGAUUUUACAUUCAAUUGUAAUCAUUAUACCUUCAUCUAAAAUUAAAAAAACAAAAAAAAUUCUAUAUAACAGAAAAAUAACAGAAAAAUUUUAACAAAUCCUAAAUCUCUUGUAUUGCCAGUCGAUUAAAAUUUCUCUUCCACCGAACAUCCAACGGUUAAACAAUGAAUGUUUCGAUAAAGUUGCAAUCUACCAGAAUUAGAGCAUCGUUAACGUCCCGUUGCGUGAACUAUGUCGUCCAGAGAAGUCCCCGAGAAUUGUCAAAGUAUUUCCUCGCGAUUCUAAGAGUGGAAAUGGAGGAGGGAGAACGGAGAACGAGAAAAGGCGUGCAGAAGGUCGUCUCGGUUCUCGGCAUUCCACCGAGUCCGCCGAAGAAUUUGAUAUGCCAGGGUUGAUGACGCGAUCCUGGCAGAAGCGGAACCAGGAAUCUAGAAACUCGGUCACCUCAUUUCCAAUUGACCGACUCGGUCCUCCGCAGCCCCUUGACAGACCAGCACGCGAUCUUCCAAUGGAUUAAUUGUCCCUAAGUUUAAUAUUUUAACCGAUAAUGUCGCGCACCUGACCAUUAUGGGAUCUAGCUACGUCCUAUGCGUUCAGUUAAGCUUGGAACGAACUAUCGACUUUGGAUUGCAGGAUGGAUUGAUGUAAGUUGUAAAGAGCACGGGCCUGGAUCAGCUUAUAUGGACAGGUGAUAGUCGGAAGACUGGUUGGAGAACUGUAGGUUUAUUCCUGGCUGAGGUACUGUCAUCUACUGUCAUUUGCUGGGAAUAUUAGAAAAAGGUACACCAUGGGAAAAAGAUGACCUGUAAUAGAAUGAACGACACAUUCUAUGACUUACACUGAGUCUAACAGGUUGUUGGGUGUUGUUUUCGUUUGGAGUGACAGUCGGAGGCAAUGGUAAUGGAGAAAACUAAUACUAGACAAGGGUAGCCUCUGGUUUUGCUGAAACUUUAAUGAAAACUGCACUAUGCUUAAAGGCCUUUAAUCAACAAUUUAUACGUGAAAAGAUUCCUACAGCUUGAGAAUCCACUAAGAAAAAUAUUGUUCCGACCCAGACAGCCCCCUAACCAGUCCUUUGUGCAGCGCGUUACACCAUUGGGAACGUGUUGUCAGCCGAAAACAGUCUGCACGCCUUCGAACACUGUUCGGGGUCCCAGCCUUACCGUAAAAGCAUUCACCCCUGUCGGUGAUUUCGCAUACGCGACGAGGGUUCCACCGGAGGGCUCGUUUAAUCGGCGGUCGUUGUUGCUGCAUCGGAUUUUGAUUAGCGCGGCCACGCCACGUUCGUUCGUUCGUUUGUUGACGGAUGAAAAAAUGCGUGACACGCGUAGCUGUGUGCGUGCGUAAUCUUACUGGACGUACGUCAAACGUAAAAUAUGCGUGCGCGGCGCGUUUGGUAUAUAGGGGAGAGGUUUUUGCUAUGUUUUACGCAUACGCAGUAUAUGUCCACGACGAUUGGACCGAGUCGAUUUUUGGCGCUGAAUUUUAGGCCAGUAUUAUUUUGAUGAUUUAUUUCACAUCCUUAUUGCAUACAGUUUAUGGUAUUAAAGAACGUUAGCCUUAUCAUCUGGCGCUGGAAAUUAUUUUAUAUAGUUUUGCAUGUAUUAAUUAUACGUUUUAUUUUUUAUCAUAUGUAACAUGGUGUACGAGGUUCUGAAAUUUAAAAAAGAAAAUGGACGAAGUUCCUGUAAAUAGCAAACGAAACUCGAAAUGUCAUUCUUCAUGCAUCGUGUAACCUAUCGUAAAAUUGUUUAUGUCUCAGGUUCGCCGUUGAAAAGAUCGAUCACAGACGUAAACGUAAUCGCAAGUAACGCGCGAAGUUAGGCCGUCCCCGCGUGUCGAAUGAAAAUAUGUCACUGGCAGUCGGUGGCAGCCGAAAUCCGGAUGCGGUAGCGUUCUCAUCAGCAUGCGAAAACUUUGUUAUUUGUUUGAACACGUUCAAUUAUGCAUGCGCAAUAUGCUGACAGUUUUCAAGGGUGCAGGGUAGGAGUGUUUGAAAGGGUGGUCAAGGGAGGGGUGCGCCGUAUUACGUCGGAGAAGAGGAAACGGCAAUCCCAUUGAAAGGGUGCGUUUUCGUUCGAAUGUAAUUGAAAUAAUAAUAAAGCGUGAACGUGCGGCAAUGAACGCGUCUGUGGACACUCGUGGCUUUUCACCUUCGAUAUUCUUCAAGGUGCGGACGAUGACAGAGGUAUAAUGAAAUUAUGAAAAGCUCUCGAAAUUGUAACAGUGGAAUAGUUUUUGAUUGCUCUGAAGUUGUCGAACGUUCAAUUUGUGUUAUUAGGAGAUCGUGACGAGCGUUCUAUGAAUGAUUAAUGAUUUUUAAAACGAAUUUUAAACAGUAAUAAACAUUUGUAAGGAAGAAUAGACUCAGGUGUGAACAUCCCAGCUCCCAAGUCGAGUGGUUCGAGUAAUAAUUCAUCCUGGCACUUGGCACGUGUAAACGGCGCGAUCGAUAAGUUAACGCAACGUUUCAAAGUGCAGUUACCUAGGAGGAAAUUACCCUUAACCUGUAAAGCACUCACCACCGCUCAAAAAGGAUUUAAAUUUCACGUCUGGUCUCAUCCUUCGAACGAUCCAAUCUGGCCGUGCCGAGCACGCGAGAAAAGCUGAAUUUUACGAAGCAUAAUUACAGGGACGCGAGUAUCCGGCUAUUUUUUCCGGCCAGCAGGAGUGAACUUCCGGUCGAGUGAUGCGAUAACCGUUUACAGGAGUUGCGUAAUCGCUGGUGAGUCCCUCUUGUUCUUUUUCCAGCCAUCAGACCGCGGCAAAAACUUAUGGGGUGUACGGGGAAAAUGAUCGACCAACCACGAACGCAUUCCGUUACAUAAUUGAACGAUCAAGGGUGAAAUUUAAUUAAUAACGUGAAAUACGUGGGAAAAUAUGCAAUUUGGUCGGUGGCGUUACUACCGCUGAAAGUUCA
Long non-coding RNA from Hylaeus anthracinus, 5910 nucleotides. RefSeq lists it as uncharacterized. The record is from RefSeq and is a predicted model, not a curated record. The transcript is spliced from 3 exons. NCBI's taxonomy places the organism in Eukaryota, Metazoa, Arthropoda, Insecta, Hymenoptera, Colletidae.